RNAcentral lists this ribosomal RNA (301 nucleotides) under uncultured bacterium. RNAcentral describes it as "partial 16S ribosomal RNA". It matches the Rfam family "Bacterial small subunit ribosomal RNA", at positions 509 to 807 of the family's 1533-position model. The record is from RNAcentral.
CAGUAGCCGCGGUAAUCCGUAGGUGGCAAGCGUUGUCCGGAAUUAUUGGGCGUAAAGGGCUCGCAGGCGGUUUCUUAAGUCUGAUGUGAAAGCCCCCGGCUCAACCGGGGAGGGUCAUUGGAAACUGGGAAACUUGAGUGCAGAAGAGGAGAGUGGAAUUCCACGUGUAGCGGUGAAAUGCGUAGAGAUGUGGAGGAACACCAGUGGCGAAGGCGACUCUCUGGUCUGUAACUGACGCUGAGGAGCGAAAGCGUGGGGAGCGAACAGGAUUAGAUACCCCUGUAGUCCCUGUCUCUUAUAC